Molecule: ribosomal RNA, 262 nt
Filed under: uncultured bacterium
Lineage: Bacteria
Description: partial 16S ribosomal RNA
Rfam family: Bacterial small subunit ribosomal RNA
Source: RNAcentral
GCAAGUCGAGCGCGAACGUGACUUCGGUCAUUAGUAGAGCGGCGAACGGGUGAGUAACGCGUGGACAACCUGCCUAGAAGUGGGGAACAACUUGGGGAAACUUGAGCUAAUACCGCAUGUGAUCGCAUUGCGAAAGUAGUGCAAUGAAAGAUGGCCUCUUCUUGAAAGCUGUCGCUUCUAGAUGGGUCCGCGUCUGAUUAGCUUGUUGGUGAGGUAAUGGCUCACCAAGGCGACGAUCUCUAGCUGGUCUGAGAGGAUGAUC